AACGUCCAGUCAACAACUAGUUGCUAGUAGUGCAUGGAAGUCCUAACAACUUAAUACCGAAAGACAAAGAGCAUUCAGACAAUACGCAGCUCACAUAGAUGUUUUAAAGACUAGAUUUUUUUACAGUAUAGCCGUGCGUUUUUCCUGUUCUUCUGAAAGACGACAGCUACCUCUCACGCCAUUUUUAAUAAAGUAUUGUAAAUAAUUCGUAUCAAUCAUUUGAAUUGACUUCAAUAUCAAUUUUAAGACCAGAUAUUAGACCUAAGUUUUCCAAGUACCGGACAUAUUAUACUAUUAGCAAUGUAAAAUACGAAGCGAAUUCUGGAAUCCAGUCGAUGUGAAUCAGCUAAACACGAGUAUAAGAAAUCGUCGUAUGCGGAUAUCAAUGAAGUGCUACAAUCCUUAAGGAAAAAUAAGGUUCUUUGUGAUAUUAAACUAGAAACAGACGAUGGUGAAAUUAUAUCUGGUCAUAAAGUGGUUUUGGCAUCAGCUAGUCCAUAUUUUUACGCAAUGUUCACAAGCUCUUCAAAAAAGAACAAAGAUCUUGUUGUUAUCAGGCAGCUGGAAUCUAGUGCACUACAGCUCUUAAUAGACUUUGUUUAUUCUGGCAAAAUCUCGAUCACUGAACAAAAUGUACAGGAUUUGUUAGCAGCAUCAAAUCUUUUGCAGUUACAAGAAGUCAAAAACGCAUGUUGUGAUUUUCUACAGGCGCAAAUAUGUCCCACAAAUGUUAUUGGGAUUAUUGCUAUAGCUGAUUUACAUGACUGUACAAAAUUGUUAACAAGAUCAGAAUUAUAUUUUAAACAACACUUUUCAGACGUGGUAGAAGGAGAAGAAUUUCUGUCCUUGUCACGUGGACAAAUAGUUAAGUUGAUCGCCAGUGAUGAGAUUACAGCUCCAUCUGAAGAAAAAAUAUGUGAAAGUGUAAUUCGAUGGGUAAAACAUGAUUUGGAUUCCAGAAAAAAAGUUUUGCCCCAAUUAAUGGAACAUGUGCGUUUACCAUUAACAUCGAAAGAUUACAUAUUAAAAAAUGUUGUUAACGAACCUCUUCUUAUUAAUUGUUCUGAAUGUAAAGAUUACGUAUUUGAAGCAUUACAAUUUCAUUUACUUAAGUUAGAAGAACUCAUCGACAUUCCACAUAACAUCCGGGCAAAACCUAUACAGCCUGAUGGUACACAUAAAGUUAUUUUAGUUCUUGGUGGACGAGAUAUCAAUGGCGAAAUAUUAGAUAGUACAGAAUUGUAUGACCCAACAAUCAAUAAAUGGCAGCCUGGACCAAAAAUGAUCACACCACGUUACGCUGGUGGCUUAGCUGUAGUAAAUGAUAAUUUUGUAAUAUAUUUGGGUGGUAAAUCUACUGAAUCAACUGUUGAGUCUGUUAAUGUGCUAAAUUUAUCAUUGAAUCACCUCAUUGGAGACCAACACGCAAAAUGUUAGUUAAACGACAAUGGUUUGGAGUUGGCGUGAUAAAUUACUGUAUAUAUGCUGUAGGAGGUCUUUCUCCAGAUACAAUGAACUCCGUUGAAUGUCAUCAUCCCAAAAUUGAUAAAUGGACACCUAUUGCAGACAUGUGUGUACGUCGCGCUGGAGCGGGUGUUGGAG
RNAcentral lists this unclassified non-coding RNA (1602 nucleotides) under Acyrthosiphon pisum (pea aphid). RNAcentral's name for it is "kelch-like protein 2, transcript variant X3". Lineage: Eukaryota; Metazoa; Arthropoda; Insecta; Hemiptera; Aphididae. The record is from RNAcentral.